This 74-nucleotide transfer RNA is filed under the name Planctomycetota bacterium. RNAcentral describes it as "Planctomycetes bacterium (soil metagenome) tRNA-Ile". It matches the Rfam family "tRNA". From Rfam's summary of the family: Transfer RNA (tRNA) molecules are approximately 80 nucleotides in length. Their secondary structure includes four short double-helical elements and three loops (D, anti-codon, and T loops). Further hydrogen bonds mediate the characteristic L-shaped molecular structure. tRNAs have two regions of fundamental functional importance: the anti-codon, which is responsible for specific mRNA codon recognition, and the 3' end, to which the tRNAs corresponding amino acid is attached (by aminoacyl-tRNA synthetases). tRNAs cope with the degeneracy of the genetic code in two manners: having more than one tRNA (with a specific anti-codon) for a particular amino acid; and 'wobble' base-pairing, i.e. permitting non-standard base-pairing at the 3rd anti-codon position. The record is from RNAcentral. Lineage: Bacteria; Pseudomonadati; Planctomycetota.
GCACACGUCGUCCAAUGGCAGGGCAUCCGCCUGAUAUGCGGAAGACGGAGGUCCGAUCCCUCCCGUGUGCACCA